This 444-nucleotide ribosomal RNA is filed under the name uncultured prokaryote. Its description in RNAcentral is "bacterial SSU rRNA". It matches the Rfam family "Bacterial small subunit ribosomal RNA", at positions 355 to 796 of the family's 1533-position model. The record is from RNAcentral.
UGAGGAAUAUUGGACAAUGGAGGCAACUCUGAUCCAGCCAUGCCGCGUGCAGGAAGACUGCCCUAUGGGUUGUAAACUGCUUUUAUAGAGGAAGAAACCCCCUGACGUGUCAGGGUCUGACGGUACUCUACGAAUAAGGAUCGGCUAACUCCGUGCCAGCAGCCGCGGUAAUACGGAGGAUCCAAGCGUUAUCCGGAAUCAUUGGGUUUAAAGGGUCCGUAGGCGGGCAAUUAAGUCAGAGGUGAAAGUUUGCGGCUCAACCGUAAAAUUGCCUUUGAUACUGGUUGUCUUGAAUUAUUGUGAAGUGGUUAGAAUGUGUAGUGUAGCGGUGAAAUGCAUAGAUAUUACACAGAAUACCGAUUGCGAAGGCAGAUCACUAACAAUUGAUUGACGCUAAGGGACGAAAGCGUGGGUAGCGAACAGGAUUAGAUACCCCCGUAGUCC